AGGGUCAGACAUUAUUUGAGAGCACAGUCA
Molecule: non-coding RNA, 30 nt
Filed under: Homo sapiens (human)
Lineage: Eukaryota; Metazoa; Chordata; Mammalia; Primates; Hominidae
Source: RNAcentral